GACGAACGCUGGCGGCGUGCUUAACACAUGCAAGUCGAACGGAAAGGCCCUGCUUUUGUGGGGUGCUCGAGUGGCGAACGGGUGAGUAACACGUGAGUAACCUGCCCUUGACUUUGGGAUAACUUCAGGAAACUGGGGCUAAUACCGGAUAGGAGCUCCUGCUGCAUGGUGGGGGUUGGAAAGUUUCGGCGGUUGGGGAUGGACUCGCGGCUUAUCAGCCUGUUGGUGGGGUAGUGGCUUACCAAGGCUUUGACGGGUAGCCGGCCUGAGAGGGUGACCGGCCACAUUGGGACUGAGAUACGGCCCAGACUCCUACGGGAGGCAACAGUGGGGAAUAUUGCACAAUGGGCGGAAGCCGGAUGCAGAAACGCCGGGUGCGGGAUGACGGCCUUCGGGUGGUAAACCGCUUUCGCCUGUGACGAAGCGUGAGUGACGGUAAUGGGUAAAGAAGCACCGGCUAACUACGU
Molecule: ribosomal RNA, 467 nt
Filed under: uncultured bacterium
Lineage: Bacteria
Description: partial 16S ribosomal RNA
Rfam family: Bacterial small subunit ribosomal RNA
Source: RNAcentral